Molecule: small RNA, 140 nt
Filed under: Arabidopsis thaliana (thale cress)
Lineage: Eukaryota; Viridiplantae; Streptophyta; Magnoliopsida; Brassicales; Brassicaceae
Description: ATSL231200
Source: RNAcentral
ACAACAACCCUAAAUCCUUAUCUCUAUCCUUGCGCUUGAUCCAGAUUCGGUUCUGAUUGGAGCUGCCAUGGAACGCAUCAUCGGCGGCAAGUACAAGCUCGGACGGAAGAUCGGCGGUGGUUCGUUCGGAGAGAUUUUUC